UACACACCGCCCGUCACAUCACGAAAGUAGGUUGUACUAGAAGUAGCUGGGCCAACUCGCAAGAGGGGUAGGUUACCACGGUAUGAUUUAUGAUUGGGGUG
RNAcentral lists this ribosomal RNA (101 nucleotides) under uncultured bacterium. RNAcentral describes it as "partial 16S ribosomal RNA". It matches the Rfam family "Bacterial small subunit ribosomal RNA", at positions 1384 to 1482 of the family's 1533-position model. The record is from RNAcentral.